This 861-nucleotide long non-coding RNA is filed under the name Rattus norvegicus (Norway rat). RNAcentral describes it as "long non-coding RNA NONRATT032365". Lineage: Eukaryota; Metazoa; Chordata; Mammalia; Rodentia; Muridae. The record is from RNAcentral.
GUAGGAACCGCAGCUGGAUCCGAAAUCCAAGCUCCGGCAAAGCGGUACUGAGGGGCUACUGUGAACAGCUGGGGGCGCUCGCUUCCCAGUUGGGGCUGAGUUUGGAGGAGAGGAAGGGAAACAGAUUAAGGAGUCAGUGAGGGUGGUGGGAAGGUCCGAGUUGCAAAGAAUGCAUCUGAAGUUGGAGGGUGCACAGGGUUCUUUUUUAAAAGCUGCGCUCGAGAAGCUAUCUCCUGGGAAAAAUAAGCUCCCUUGGUCUUUGAUGCAGCUUUUCGCCUUUCACCAAUAACAAGACAGGACAGCGAAAGACUGAAAGGACGAAGGUAAAGCUAGUCCUGGUGAUGUACGCCUAGAACCCCAGCACUCAGGAGGUAGAGGUGGGAGGGCCAAAGGGUCAAGGUCAAUUUGACCUAUGUAACAAAACGCUUUUUCAAAAAUAAACUAAACAAAAAGUCUCCCAAACCAAAUACCAUUUCUAAAGGAAGAAAAAACAGAAUAAAUAUUUUUUACAUAGUACUUAGCUUCUUGAAAUUCUCCUGAAACCCAGCUAACAUAUAGUUUGUAAUAUUGUUAGCAAUUGUUAAGGUAUGUGUGUAUAGAAUAUUUGUAUAUGUGUGUUUAUAUUUGUCUAUGAAAUAGAUAAAAUAAGCCAUGAAGAUUAUAAUCAAAAUGAUUUUUAAUAAAUCUAUUGAAUUGAAGAGGUUAUAUGACUUCAUGAGAAAAAUCUGAUUAAAAUGUAUUUUUCAAAACAGUGUAUCAGAUACAAAGCAUCAACCUUCUUGUGAACUUCUCUGAGGACCAAGCUCUUCAUAUAUUCAUGGUAUAUGAAUAACCUUAUAUUUGAGGUACAUGUGUAGUGGC